Molecule: unclassified non-coding RNA, 267 nt
Filed under: Hevea brasiliensis (rubber tree)
Lineage: Eukaryota; Viridiplantae; Streptophyta; Magnoliopsida; Malpighiales; Euphorbiaceae
Source: RNAcentral
ACCCCGCUGAAUGCCAUCAUCGGAUUUUCUGAGAUGAUCGUCCGCGAGAACGAGAUGAUGAUCGACGCCGCUCGGCGGCAGGAAUACGCCAAGCUGAUCAACGAAUCCGGCCUGCACCUGCUGUCGGUGGUCAAUGGCAUUCUCGACAUGUCGAAGAUGGAAAGCGGCAACUUCGAGAUUCUUCCCGAACUUUUCUCGCCGCGCGAGUCCCUGGUCAGUUGCUGCAACCUGAUGGUUUUGAAAGCACGCGAAAACGGCAUCGAUGUC